This 305-nucleotide ribosomal RNA is filed under the name uncultured bacterium. RNAcentral describes it as "bacterial SSU rRNA". It matches the Rfam family "Bacterial small subunit ribosomal RNA", at positions 333 to 636 of the family's 1533-position model. The record is from RNAcentral.
CACUUCCUACGGGGGGCAGCAGUGAGUUAUAUUGGUUAUUGGGCGGGCGCCUGAACCAGCCAAGUCGCGUGAAGGAAGAAGGUACUUAGUAUUGUAAACUUCUUUUGUCGGGGAACAAAGGCGGAGACGCGUCUCCGGAUGGGUGUACCCGAAGAAAAAGCAUCGGCUAACUCCGUGCCAGCAGCCGCGGUAAUACGGAGGAUGCGAGCGUUAUCCGGAUUUAUUGGGUUUAAAGGGUGCGCAGGCGGGAGAUCAAGUCAGCGGUAAAAUGUCGGGGCUCAACCCCGGCCGGCCGUUGAAACUGG